RNAcentral lists this ribosomal RNA (1470 nucleotides) under metagenome. RNAcentral describes it as "bacterial SSU rRNA". It matches the Rfam family "Bacterial small subunit ribosomal RNA". The record is from RNAcentral.
AGAGUUUGAUCCUGGCUCAGAACGAACGCUGGCGGCGUGCUUAACACAUGCAAGUCGAACGAAGCCAUUUCCUUCGGGAGAUGGACUGAGUGGCGAACGGGUGAGUAACACGUAAGUAACCUGCCCUCCGGACUGGGAUAACGCCCCCAACGGGGUGCUAAUACCGGAUGACAUCCUUUGACUUCGUUGUCGUUGGAUCAAAGGUGGCCUCUCAACGAUGCUACCACCGGGGGAGGGGCUUGCGCCCCAUUAGCUUGUUGGUAGGGUAACGGCCUACCAAGGCUGCGAUGGGUAGCCGGCCUGAGAGGGUGAUCGGCCACACUGGGACUGAGAUACGGCCCAGACUCCUACGGGAGGCAGCAGUGAGGAAUAUUGCGCAAUGGACGAAAGUCUGACGCAGCAACGCCGCGUGGGGGAUGAAGGCCCUUGGGUUGUAAACUCCUUUUGGGUGGAAAGAAACGGUGCGGUACCUAAUACGACUGCACCUUGACGGUACCACCAGAAAAAGCCCCGGCUAACUCCGUGCCAGCAGCCGCGGUAAUACGGAGGGGGCAAGCGUUGUUCGGAAUUACUGGGCGUAAAGGGCGUCUAGGCGGCCGCGUAAGUUGGAAGUGAAAGCCCCAGGGCUCAACCCGGGAAUUGCUUUCAAAACUGCACGGCUUGAGUACGGGAGAGGAGAGUGGAAUUCCCAGUGUAGCGGUGAAAUGCGUAGAUAUUGGGAGGAACACCAGUGGCGAAGGCGGCUCUCUGGACCGCUACUGACGCUGAAGCGCGAAAGCUAGGGUAGCAAACAGGAUUAGAUACCCUGGUAGUCCUAGCUAUAAACGAUGGGUACUAGGUGUUGGGGGUAUCGACCCCUCCAGUGCCGCAGCAAACGCAUUAAGUACCCCGCCUGGGGAGUACGGUCGCAAGAUUGAAACUCAAAGGAAUUGACGGGGGCCCGCACAAGCGGUGGAGCAUGUGGUUUAAUUCGACAACGCGAAAAACCUUACCGGGGUUUGACAUGUAUCGGACGGACGGUGAAAGCCGUCUUUCAAUCUCUUCGGAGUGCGACCGAUUCACAGGUGCUGCAUGGCUGUCGUCAGCUCGUGUCGUGAGAUGUUGGGUUAAGUCCCGCAACGAGCGCAACCCCUACUCUUAGUUGCCAACAGGUAAUGCUGGGGACUCUAAGGGAACUGCCGGUGAUAAACCGGAGGAAGGUGGGGACGACGUCAAGUCCUCAUGGCCUUUAUGCCCCGGGCGACACACGUGCUACAAUGGCCGGUACAAAGGGCUGCAAAGUCGCGAGACCAAGCCAAUCCCAAAAAACCGGUCUCAGUUCGGAUUGGAGUCUGAAACCCGACUCCAUGAAGUUGGAAUCGCUAGUAAUCGUGGAUCAGCACGCCAUGGUGAAUACGUUCCCGGGCCUUGUACACACCGCCCGUCUCACCACGAAAGUUGGCUGCACUAGAAGCCGUUGCGCCAACCAUC